GAUGAACGCUAGCGGGAGGCCUAACACAUGCAAGCCGAGCGGUAGAGUUUCUUCGGAAACUUGAGAGCGGCGCACGGGUGCGUAACACGUGUGCAACCUACCUUUAUCUGGGGGAUAGCCUUUCGAAAGGAAGAUUAAUACCCCAUAAUAUAAUGAUUGGCAUCAACUAUUAUUGAAAACUCCGGUGGAUAGAGAUGGGCACGCGCAAGAUUAGAUAGUUGGUGAGGUAACGGCUCACCAAGUCAAUGAUCUUUAGGGGUCCUGAGAGGGAGAUCCCCCACACUGGUACUGAGACACGGACCAGACUCCUACGGGAGGCAGCAGUGAGGAAUAUUGGACAAUGGGUGAGAGCCUGAUCCAGCCAUCCCGCGUGAAGGAUGACGGUCCUAUGGAUUGUAAACUUCUUUUGUACAGGGAUAAACCUACCCUCGGGAGGGUAGCUGAAGGUACUGUACGAAUAAGCACCGGCUAACUCCGUG
This 479-nucleotide ribosomal RNA is filed under the name uncultured bacterium. RNAcentral's name for it is "partial 16S ribosomal RNA". It matches the Rfam family "Bacterial small subunit ribosomal RNA", at positions 28 to 507 of the family's 1533-position model. The record is from RNAcentral.